This 1399-nucleotide long non-coding RNA is filed under the name Triticum aestivum (bread wheat). RNAcentral describes it as "long non-coding RNA (TAES_LNC004769)". Lineage: Eukaryota; Viridiplantae; Streptophyta; Magnoliopsida; Poales; Poaceae. The record is from RNAcentral.
CAGACAUGUGAAGCUUUACAAAUUUUUUAAAAAAUACAAGAAAACACAAUCAGGUAUAUCAUUGACCUUUUUCUAUCUUCAUGUAAUGCACACUAUUGGUACUUCUCUAACAUAUAUAUUUGAAAGAUAGCCCUUAGAAAAAAUUGCAGAACCUAAUAAUUUUAUGUAUAGUGUUAAAAUGAUUUUAAAGAGUACUUUGCCGUAGUAAUUCCCAAGGAGCAACUGUCGUUCGCUGAGAAGCACACAGUCACAGAAAUAAUGCCAUCCUCUGCAGCUCGAACCACACAACAGAAUAAUCCUGAAAGCAUGAUCGAUAAGUAUUAUAGGUUGUUUCUACAUGCAGCCGGCAUCUCCUAUUUAGUGCAUAUAUUGUUACUAUCUUGACAACAUUGUGCAUAAAGUAGCUUUCAAAUAUAUGGUACUAUAUUGCUAAAAGAAUAUUCAAUGCAGAAAUGAAGGGACAGUACACGUCAAAAUCCACAGGCCAACUUACAAAAGAAGCUGGAGAAGCUAUUAUCAGGAGGAAACAACAACUCCAAGAAAAAAGGAGUAAGAGAUGCAGGAAUACACAGGAAACAACCAAUAAAAAAGAAGAAGAUGCUUCACGGAAGAGAAAGGAACAAAUCAAAGAAAGAACAAAUGUGAAGCGUGCAAGAACAAGUGGGAGCGACAAUGACCUUGGAAGCAACAUCAAAGAAACAAACAGCAGCACUACGUCCGAGAGUUAUUAUAGCAAAAUAUGGAACUUUGGAAAGCCAACAUAUAGAUGUGAACAUUGCAAUGCAAUACUAUGGUGUGAAGAAAGAUUAAAUUCUCAUAGAGGAACCAAAAAACUUUCUUUCAGAAUUUGCUCCAAACAAGGUAAGAUUGACCUACCAAAGAUGGCACACCCUCCACCUUACUUCGCAGGAUUAUUAACAGGUGAAGGAAGUGAUGCAACAAACUUCAAAGAAAAUAUCGGGUCAUACAACUCAAUGUUCUCAUUCACAUCAAUGGGAGGAGCUGUUGACAAAGAAAUAAACAAAGGCAAAGGACCAUAUGUUUUUAGACUGCAUGGCCAGAACUAUCACCAUAUUGGAACUCUUCUACCUGAAGAAGGUAACAAACCUCGAUUUGCCCAGCUAUACAUCUAUCAGACAGAAAAUGAGGUGCAAAACAGGAUAGAUGCUUCAAGAUGCAAUGAUAAUAAAUCAACGGUGGACCCUGCCAUUGUCAAAGAACUACAAAAAAUGCUUGAUGAGAACAACAUCCUCGCAAAAUCUUUCAGAAUGGCAAGAGAUAGAUUCAAAGAAGAAGACUACCAUGAUUACACACUUAGAAUACUUGGGAAAAGGAACGGAACACACAACCUUCCAUCUGCAUCGGAAGUUGCAGCAUUGGUUGUAAGAGACCCAACUGG